This 205-nucleotide ribosomal RNA is filed under the name uncultured bacterium. Its description in RNAcentral is "partial 16S ribosomal RNA". It matches the Rfam family "Bacterial small subunit ribosomal RNA", at positions 143 to 334 of the family's 1533-position model. The record is from RNAcentral.
UAAACCGGCCGAAAGGCUGGCUAAUACUGGAUAGUUCAAGUGCACUGUAAUUGGUGCGAUUGGGAAAGGGAGCGCGCAAGCGCCUUCGUUCUAAGAUGAGCCCGCGUCUGAUUAGCUAGUUGGUGAGGUAAUGGCUCACCAAGGCGAUGAUCAGUAGCUGGUCUGAGAGGAUGAUCAGCCACACUGGAACUGAAACACGGUCCAG